This 432-nucleotide ribosomal RNA is filed under the name uncultured deep-sea archaeon. Its description in RNAcentral is "bacterial SSU rRNA". It matches the Rfam family "Archaeal small subunit ribosomal RNA", at positions 384 to 822 of the family's 1478-position model. The record is from RNAcentral.
AGUGUUCUAUUUAGAACUGUGGUAGGUGAGUAAUGUCCCCUACUAGAAAGGAGAGGGCAAGGCUGGUGCCAGCCGCCGCGGUAAAACCAGCUCUUCAAGUGGUCGGGAUAAUUAUUGGGCUUAAAGUGUCCGUAGCCGGUUUAGUAAGUUCCUGGUAAAAUCGGGUAGCUUAACUAUCUAUAUGCUAGGAAUACUGCUAUACUAGAGGGCGGGAGAGAUCUGAGGUACUACAGGGGUAGGGGUGAAAUCUUAUAAUCCUUGUAGGACCACCAGUGGCGAAGGCGUCAGACUGGAACGCGCCUGACGGUGAGGGACGAAAGCCAGGGGAGCGAACCGGAUUAGAUACCCGGGUAGUCCUGGCCGUAAACGAUGCAUACUAGGUGAUGGCACGGCCAUGAGCCGUGUCAGUGCCGUAGGGAAACCGUUAAGUGU